AAAGAUUCAUAGAAAUUGUUCCAUGCCUCAAGUUUGGUUAACAAGAAGAACUUGCUCGCUCAUUUGGUUAAAUACCUGAAUAUUUAUUCCUUAACAUGUCUUCUGUUGUUUAGCAGAAAGAAAAGAAACAAUUCUUCCAGUGAUUAAUCUGUAGAGAAAGUUGUCUCUGAAAUUUUUAUCUGGAAAUGGAUACUUUGGAUACAGAUGAUUUAUGCUUGAAUUGGCACAUGAUUGAAGUUAUAGGGUGGUUAGCCACGUUGUUCAUACCUUCGUCACCACCAUCACCUCCUGCCCAGCUGUCUUGAGACUGAAUAUAGGUCGACCGGGUCUUAUUGGUAAGCAGUGGCUCUUCCUAUGUGUGUAUGGAUCAACAACUUCCGACACCCAACUUCCAACCUUUAAUCUAAUGACUUGAUGACUAAUUCUCUGUUGCAGUACUGCAUUCUCACUUUGCACCACCGUGUCGACCAAAGAGACAACCAAAUAUUGAAGCGCAUACAUUAUACUGUACCAGACAAUGCAAAGGUGUGAAGUUCCUUUGUGCUCAACGGCAACACAGAACUUCUAGGCCUGACUUGUCAUUCUUCCUGCAGCAUGGUUGAGCGUGUCAUCGUUUGUGUGGAUCUUCUCGUUUGUUGUUAACGAGCAGCAGUGCACGACGAGACAAUUCAAAUUCUGGAACUACAAAGAUACUAUUCAAGAAAUACGGGAAUACAAAGCAAGAGGAUGUGCUCAACUUUUCUCUGACUUAUUAUGUUUACAUGUAUGAUUGCUGGACUACCGGUAUGGCUCGUAUUCUUUAAUUUUUCAAGGUAAACUACCGGUCUUCAUCAUCGACUGCAAGGGGAGAGCAGCUUAAUUAUUGAGUACGUCAGAGAUAUCGGAGUGAAGACAAUCAUUCCAGAUGUUACUUGAAGCAUUGAUGUGUUCUCAUGCCAGCCGUUCAGACUGCACCCAUUUGCUUGCACAAUACAGUACACUUAUGGUGAAAUUUGGUAAGUUCUUGCAUACUGUUUUAGCAGUCCGUAUGGUUCAGAUCCAUUAUCCUGUGAG
Lolium perenne is the source of this 1053-nucleotide non-coding RNA. The record is from RefSeq and is a predicted model, not a curated record. NCBI's taxonomy places the organism in Eukaryota, Viridiplantae, Streptophyta, Magnoliopsida, Poales, Poaceae.